GACGAACGCUGGCGGCGUGCUUAACACAUGCAAGUCGAACGGAAAGGCCCUGCGUUUGUGGGGUGCUCGAGUGGCGAACGGGUGAGUAACACGUGAGUAACCUGCCCUUGACUUUGGGAUAACUUCAGGAAACUGGGGCUAAUACCGGAUAGGAGCUCCUGCUGCAUGGUGGGGGUUGGAAAGUUUCGGCGGUUGGGGAUGGACUCGCGGCUUAUCAGCUUGUUGGUGGGGUAGUGGCUUACCACGGCUUUGACGGGUAGCCGGCCUGAGAGGGUGACCGGCCACAUGGGGACUGCGAUACGGACCAGACUCCUACGGGAGGCAGCAGUGGGGAACAUUGCACAAUGGGCGGAAGCCUGAUGCAGCAACGCCGCGUGCGGGAUGACGGCCUUUGGGUUGUAAACCGCUUUCGCCGGUGACGAAGCGUGAGUGACGGUAAUGGGUAAAGAAGCACCGGCUAACUACGUG
This 468-nucleotide ribosomal RNA is filed under the name uncultured bacterium. Its description in RNAcentral is "partial 16S ribosomal RNA". It matches the Rfam family "Bacterial small subunit ribosomal RNA", at positions 28 to 507 of the family's 1533-position model. The record is from RNAcentral.